This 1501-nucleotide unclassified non-coding RNA is filed under the name Hevea brasiliensis (rubber tree). Lineage: Eukaryota; Viridiplantae; Streptophyta; Magnoliopsida; Malpighiales; Euphorbiaceae. The record is from RNAcentral.
UUCUGGAUCCUUUUGAACUAGCUGCAUUUUCAGGGAGAAGGAUUAAAAUAAGUAAAAGGAACCAAAAUAAAUUUACAAGAGACUGCAAUUUUAUACUGACAAUAAAGCCAUCAUUUUAGAACAGAUUGCAAGCAAAUUGAUUGUUGUCCCUUGUCAAGGAGUCCAUGAGGGAGGGUAACUUGGACCAUUUCAAAAUUUCCAGCUCUUUCCUGUAGCCUAUUGAAAAUUCUCAGUUAAGAUAACCAAUCAUUUUCAGUAUCAACAAUGAAGUAUUUGCUCUGUUUUGGUGAUUUAAAACAGGAUAGGACAGAGGGUAACCGCUCACAACUCAAAGCGUAACUUAUCAACUCAAUUCAAGUAUCAAAGAAACAUCUUCAACCAUGAAAUCGCUCAAGCAUAUCAGCAAGUGGAGUUCUAGUGAUGAAAUUCAAAGAGUAGAAUAAGAUAAUCAAACACAAUAAUUUAAAGUAGUUUGACACACAUGACCUAAAUCUACUCGUCAAAGAUCCAAUUUGAUAGUUCUUUUCUACUAACCGACUCUUUUCACAAGCAAAAGUCAAGCCAAUUACAACCAUAGCUUCUCUCAGUGAUUGAGAACCAACUACAUAAUUUGCCCAAAUCACAAUCUCCCAGAAGCUUCACUGUAGGUGCUUAAACACAUUUACAAAAAUAAUAUGCAGUUUUCCCUUUUGCUUGGAGUGUCUAUUAACUUAUAAAUACAAUAUGGAACAUCUAUUAAAGAAGAGAGAGAAGAUUUACUAAUAUAAAAAUGCAUGGUUUUUCUCAAGGAUGAAAGCACCUCAAGUUUUUGCAGAAAUUUCCUUUGAAAUCAAUAGCUUUCAUAGACUAAAAAAUGGAGCAAAAUAAUGAUCUGUACAUGAGGACUUGAUAUAUAGCCAUUAGAAGGUGAGAACAAGUAGAGCAACCAUUGAUUGGGCAAAAACUAGCCACUAUUUUUGGAUUUUUGUGAACUCUGAAAAAAGGUCAGAUCACAAGGUAGUAGACCAUUCAAAAUUAUCAUACUACUUUUACUACUAGGCUAAAAAUAAUAGAAAAUUAUUCGACUAAUUUUCGAAUUUAGUCGACUGCUUUUGCUACUAUCCACUUUGGCAUAGACAAACAAAAAAUAGUUAACUACUUGUUUUGACAAUAAUCUACUACUUUUAGCUAAUGUCUCAAAACUUUUGAUUUUUCAAAUUCUAUUUCAAAAAUUGUUUUAACACAAUGGUUCCCCAAAACUUAACACCAAAAACAUUUCCAAACAUUUAAAAGAUAUAGUUAUUUCGAAAAAUUAAUUUAAAAUGAAAUUCUCUCUUCUUCUUAUCACAUAAAAGCUACCUUCAACCCUCUUCAAGUAUCCUUUUUCAUUUUUCUAACAUCCUAGAUCAUUUUUCUCAUCACUUGCAACUUGAGACUUAGCUUACAAACUUAUUAAAUCAAUUCCAUUAAGUUUCUUUAUCAUCAAAACCAAGUUUAUUUGACCCUUGGGACUAACAUUAAC